Molecule: non-coding RNA, 1022 nt
Organism: Kogia breviceps (pygmy sperm whale)
Lineage: Eukaryota; Metazoa; Chordata; Mammalia; Artiodactyla; Physeteridae
Source: RefSeq, a predicted model, not a curated record
AGGUGGCCCUCCAAGCUGCACCCAUGCUGUGGCUCUGUCUCCCCUCGAGACCUCCUAUCUGGUCAUCGUGUACAGAAGAGGGAGAGUCUUGGAGAAUCAUGCCUCCCCCUGGAUGUCACAGACAGCAUUCCACUUACAGUGCAUGGCCACAACCAGUCACGUGACCCCUGACCGUGAGGGACUUAAUAGUGUCACCUCCCAAGGAACUGGAAGCAGAGGGAAACCAGGAGGGUUCAGCACCAGAAGUCUCCACCCAAAGGGCCUGAGAGCCCCAAGGACCAACUCUGCCUACACUCUGCUUUGGCAGGAGGCUGUCUCACUCCCGAGGCCCUGCCUGAGUCAUCUGUCAGCGGCAUAAGUACGCAACCUUCUGAAUGGCUUGUUAGAUGUCACAAUAACAAAGUUUUGUGUAAAGUCCCUAGGAUUAGCUGAAUCCACCCUCAGACAGACCACCCCUCUCCUCUCCGGGUGAGGUCCCUGCUGGAAACACAAGCUCUAGGAUGGUGAGCAACGAAUUUAGCAGGGGCGUAUACUGCAGAAGUUCAUGGCUGUCUGCCCAAUUUCCUCUUCCCUCCUGCCCUCACGGGAGUGGGCAUAUGACCCCGGACUGGCCAAGCUCUGCCUCCCUGGCACAGUGUCUCAUGUACUGUGGUUCCAGGGGUCAGGACCUGAUGGAAGUGGGGUGCCCCCAGGACAACUAGAGAGCCCCAGCUCUUCGGAUAUAGGGGGCUCAAGGGCCAGCUGAGCGAGUCUCCUCUGCUCCCCCAGGGGAAGCACCUGGGGACCAGUACCCCAGUACAAGUGCCUGCCAUGCAUCAACUGUGACCCACUGAUGUGAUGGACACAGCUCAGUGCAAGGCGGCCAGCAGAAGACGGAGCAGAUCACACACUGAGAGCGUCACACUUAGGCUCCUGCCUGAGAAAAGAGGCAGCAGAGAGAAAUUCUGAGACCUCUGCCUGCCUGCCCUGUGCUCAGAACCUUCUCUCCUGGCCCAUCUGGGGUACAGCGCACCCUCCGUGGG